AGCAGUGAGGAAUAUUGGUCAAUGGGCGAGAGCCUGAACCAGCCAUGCCGCGUGCAGGAAGACGGCCUUAUGGGUUGUAAACUGCUUUUAUAGGGGAAUAAAACUUUCUACGUGUAGAGAGCUGAAGGUACCCGAAGAAUAAGCAUCGGCUAACUCCGUGCCAGCAGCCGCGGUAAUACGGAGGAUGCAAGCGUUAUCCGGAUUCAUUGGGUUUAAAGGGUGCGCAGGCGGAUUUAUAAGUCAGUGGUGAAAUUUUACGGCUCAACAUUAGAACUGCCAUUGAUACUGUCAGUCUUGAGUAUAGUUGAAGUGGGCGGAAUGUGUCAUGUAGCGGUGAAAUGCUUAGAUAUCACACAGAACACCGAUUGCGAAGGCAGCUCACUAAGCUAAAACUGACGCUCAGGCACGAAAGCGUGGGGAUCAAACAGGAUUAGAUACCCUGGUAGUCCACGCUGUAAACGAUGAUUACUCGAUGUUGGCGAUACACAGUCAGGGUCUGAGCGAAAGUAUUAAGUAAUCCACCUGGGAG
RNAcentral lists this ribosomal RNA (529 nucleotides) under uncultured Bacteroidota bacterium. RNAcentral's name for it is "bacterial SSU rRNA". It matches the Rfam family "Bacterial small subunit ribosomal RNA", at positions 350 to 879 of the family's 1533-position model. The record is from RNAcentral. Lineage: Bacteria; Pseudomonadati; Bacteroidota.